GACGAACGCUGGCGGCGUGCUUAACACAUGCAAGUCGAACGGAAAGGCCCCUUUGGGGGUACUCGAGUGGCGAACGGGGGCGUAACACGGGAGUAACCUGCCCUUUACUUCGGGAUAACUUCAGGAAACUGGGGCUAAUACCGGAUAGGAAUCCUUGCUGCAUGGUGGGGGUUGGAAAGCUUCGGGGGUUUUGGAUGGACUCGCGGCUUAUCAGCUUGUUGGUGGGGUAGUGGGUUACCAAGGCUUUGACGGGUAGCCGGCCAGUGAGGGCGAGCGGCCACAUUGGGACUGAGGGGCGGCCCAGACUCCGACGGGUGGAAGCAGGGGGGAAGAUUGCACAAUGGGCGGCAGCCUGAUGCAGCAAGGCCGCGUGCUGGAUGACGGUCUUCGGGUUGUAGACCGCUUUCAGCAGGGGCGAAGCUUGUGGUGACGGUACCUGCAGAAGAAGCACCGGCUAACUACGUG
This 465-nucleotide ribosomal RNA is filed under the name uncultured bacterium. RNAcentral's name for it is "partial 16S ribosomal RNA". It matches the Rfam family "Bacterial small subunit ribosomal RNA", at positions 28 to 507 of the family's 1533-position model. The record is from RNAcentral.